GAUGAACGCUGGCGGCGUGCUUAACACAUGCAAGUCGAACGAUGAAGCCCAGCUUGCUGGGUGGAUUAGUGGCGAACGGGUGAGUAACACGUGAGUAACCUGCCCUUAACUCUGGGAUACGCCUGGGAAACUGGGUCUAAUACCGGAUAGGAGCGUCCACCGCAUGGUGGGUGUUGGAAAGAUUUAUCGGUUUUGGAUGGACUCGCGGCCUAUCAGCUUGUUGGUGGGGUAAUGGCUCACCAAGGCGACGACGGGUAGCCGGCCUGAGAGGGUGACCGGCCACACUGGGACUGAGACACGGCCCAGACUCCUACGGGAGGCAGCAGUGGGGAAUAUUGCACAAUGGGCGCAAGCCUGAUGCAGCGACGCCGCGUGAGGGAUGACGGCCUUCGGGUUGUAAACCUCUUUCAGUAGGGAAGAAGCGAAAGUGACGGUACCUGCAGAAGAAGCACCGGCUAACUACGUG
Molecule: ribosomal RNA, 466 nt
Filed under: uncultured bacterium
Lineage: Bacteria
Description: partial 16S ribosomal RNA
Rfam family: Bacterial small subunit ribosomal RNA
Source: RNAcentral